Molecule: long non-coding RNA, 7524 nt
Filed under: Citrus x clementina
Lineage: Eukaryota; Viridiplantae; Streptophyta; Magnoliopsida; Sapindales; Rutaceae
Description: Citrus clementina (C. clementina) long non-coding RNA (CCLE_LNC002953)
Source: RNAcentral
AAGAUCCAUUGUUGUUUUGUUGCUGUGAGAGUAAAUGAAUACAAUUUUCUUGCAAGAUUAGUCUCUAAAUGCUUGAAGAUAGCGGGCAUUCAGGAAGCAGUUUUGAGUGAAAUCACUUUCAUAUUAAGCUACUAGUCAAAAUUUUAGCUUUUCAUUGACUGCAAUAGAUUGAUUGAUUAUUGUUUUCAGGUUGGAUAUUCAUCACCUGCUGAGUCUGGAAUGAGGGCAGACCUGGGACUUUCAGUGACAGAAGUAAGUUGACGAAGCCCAAGUUAUCCAUGAACACAGAACGUUAAAAUAAACAAAUAAAUUCAUAUAAACAUUGGCCAGAAUAUGUCACUUUUGAUACACACGUGUACAGACAACAUCUACUAUUAUGUAUGCAGAUUCACUUAACUGAUCAUUACUAUUAUAUGAUCUUAUACAUUUUGAGUCCUAUUAUUGACCAUGGCUUUCCCUUAUUCUUCUCAUUCUGCAGUACUCAGUUUUUGGUUCAGUAUUGACAUUUGGAGGAAUAAUAGGUUCACUAGUAAAUGGGAAAAUAGCAGACCCCACUGGUCGAAGAGGUGUAAGUCAUUCAAUCGUCCGCUUUAUGUCUCAAUGAAUAGUAUGAAAUUUCUUUUACUGUUGUCAAUAGUAUUUAAUUAACUGCAAGUGCAACAGGCAAUGUGGCUAUCUGAGUUAUUCUGUAUAGUUGGGUGGCUGGCAAUUGCAUUCUCAAAGGUCUUUUUCCUUUAGCUUCUCUUUUUCAUCACAGUCAUGCUUGAUUUGGCUGCCUGCAUGAAAACCAUACUUAGAAUCUUAUUUGGAAUUCAAUUGUCCUUUUCGGGGUUCAAGUUGCAUGUCUACCUCUAUCUACUAUUAAAAUGGUAUGUCAAUAGGCUAUAAUUUACUUGUGUACUUGUUGAUGGGAUGCUUGGUCCCUAUAUCUUGGACGCUGUUCUAUUGGGAUUGGACUUGCGCUUAUUGCUUAUGUGGUAAGUGACAUGAACAAUUUCAUGGUUGCUUAAUUCACAUGUGAGGCAUGUCACAGCAUUUGCAUCAUUGUUCCAAGACAGAUACCUAUAUAUAUUGCGGAAAUAACACCCAAAAACAUCCGGGGAGCAUUUACAGCUACUAGUCAGGUAUAUAUAUGUUAAUUAUAAUGAUUAUAUUACUUGUCUAACUUAUAUUUAAUGAGUGUUUACUUUGUCAUCAAUUCUGCAGUUCUUGAUUGUGUCUGGUAUGUCAGUAAUGUAUUUGGUGGGUACUAUUGUUUCCUGGCGAGCCCUGGCUCUAAUUGGUAGCUUCAGCUUGCCCUGCUUUUGAUUUCAUUUGCUUAAUUGCUAAGCCCUUCAAGAUUUCUGAUGUUUCUUUUUCAUUUAAUUUUCAGCUGCUGUUCCAUGUCUGUUGCAAGUUGUUGGUUUGUUCUUCAUUCCAGAGUCACCAAGAUGGCUGGUUAGUCCAAGUCAAAUGUCCAUAAACUUUUUUCCUGGUGGAAUUUAAUUUUGCAAAAAACAGAGACUGGAGUCCCUAGCUUUUUGUUUAAGUUCUUGCUACUAUGCUUGUGAACUAAGAGCGUAUUAAAGUUAAAUGUGUAUUUCUCUUUGCAGGCAAAGAUAGGUAAAGAAAAAGAGCUAGAAACUACUCUACAGUGCCUUAGGGGAAAGACUGCAGAUAUUUCUAUGGAAUCUGCUGACAUCAGAGUAAAAUUCCAACUCUAAUAUUUGACUACUCAGUAAUUACAAAACACAUGAAACAGCUGUACAUCUCUUGCACAAAACAACCAAUGAGCAUCCCAUAUUGUACAGGAUUGCACGCAGACAUUUGAGAAGGACUCGAAAGCUGGGAUUUUUGACCUGUUUCAGCGGAGAUAUGCUUAUUCACUCUCAGUGAGUCCUUAAUAGUUGUAUAUAUAUAUUUUUUUAUAUAUUUGUAAUCUCGUCAUAUAUCAUCUGUCCUAUUUAAGUGGUUUAGGUUGGAGUUGGAUUAAUGGUAAUGCAACCAUUUGUAGGAUCAGCUGCAAUUGCAUAUUAUGCUAGCUACAUAAUUGCAGCAGCUGGUAAAUAAACAACAUUUUGUACUAUUUCAUAGAACUUCUGAAUAUCCAAGAAUAUGACAGUAUGAAUCUUUUGUUUGUAACAGAUCUUUCGACGGACAUUGGGAGUAUAUCAAUGGCUAUCAUUCAGGUAAUUGACCAUCAAUCAAACGUGAGAUUUUUCCAUUUGAAAUACUCAGGAACAUACAAUUUCUUUUACAGCUUCCGGCUAUUGGCGCGUCCGUACUCCUGACAGAUAGAUUUGGUAGAAGACCACUUCUUUUGGUUUGCACAUAUAAGAGAAUUAAGUUUAUCCAAAAAUUAGUUAUUCAGGAUAUAUAAAUGUUCAUAUUUUUGCAGGCUUCUACUAUCUGGAUGGGCUUAAGUCUCACUAUUAUAGCUUUGGCAUUUGGCCUGCAGGUUCUUCUAUUACAAAAUUUAUGCACUUCUUCACUAGUUCUCAAUUCUGUUUGACAUAUUAAUGAUCAUUGCUUAAAAAACUUAUGUGCAGGACACCCAUCUUUGGAAUGAGGCUACUCCAGUCCUUGUGUAUGUUGGCAUAAUGGUAAUAGUCUCUAAAUGUUGUGAGCUAACAUCGAAGUGUUCUUUCUCUGUAAAGAUUUUUUUUCCCAAUUGUAUCGUCUGCCUAAUUGGAGCAACAUAUGGCAAAAUAUAUGAUCAGGGGUUUAGCAUAGCUUUUGCAUUAGGCAUGGCGGGACUACCAAGUGUCAUAAUGGCUGAGGUAUAUGACUACAUGAUCUAGCUCUACUUCUUUUCAUGAAUGUCUUAUCAGGAGUCGAUAAAUAAGCCAUUGAACUUCCAUUUUUCAGAUAUUUCCAAUAAACAUCAAAGGUUCAGCAGGAAGCCUGGUGAUUUUACUCCACAACUGCAGCAAUUGGAUAGUUACAUACACUUUCCAUUUCACGAUGGAAUGGAGCAGAACAGGCACCUGAAACCCCCCACCAUAUAUGCUCGUACUAUUUUCCACUUCUCAAUCCUCUUUAUCUUGCUCUCUAAUUACAAGUCUGUGUUGGCUGCUAUGGCAGGAACAUUUUCUAUAUUCUGGGUCAUUUGCGCUGCCGCUGUCCUGUUCGUUGCAUUUCUGGUGCCGGAGACCAAGGGACGACACUCGAAGAAAUUCAAGUAUCAAUUACAAAGUAUUAAUAAAUUUUAUAACAGAACUCCACAUUUGUCCAAAACCAUGCACAUAUAAAUGCCUUAAUAAAAUGGUGUAUAUGAUCUUGGAGCUGAAUUAUUACAAAAAUGAGAAAAUGGCUAAGACCUUAAAAAGUUGAGAGACAAGGAUUGAAAGAUGAAGAAUAAAGUAGCUGGGAGAAGAAGAAGAAAGUCGAUAAGAGUGGGAAAAUGUGCAGAAUAAGUUUGAUAAUUUAUUGAGUAUUUGUUGCGCAUGUAUGGCGCAUCAUGGCUACAGAAACAUCUCAGUUUAUGAUAAUUAUCAUUUUGUUGUGGAAUUAGUUGGAAAUUAUCCAGACAUACACAUAAAUAAUAAGAAGUUAAAAGGAUCAGGUCAAGAAAAUGGACGCCAACCUUUGUGAGAGUGGUCACCUGCUUCGAAGUUCUCAAUAACUCAUAAUAUAUUUCACUUUCACUGCUUUAGUGCGACUCGAAUCCUCUGCAUCUCCUAAUAUAUUUGACGUCUUUAGUGUGACCCAGUUUAGUACUCUAGUGCAUGACCUGUGAAUUGGCCUUUAUUCAAGGGUACGUCUAUCAGAGCACUCACGGGCCAUGUUGGCAAGUCAAAGCAUUGCCACGAUUUCCUGCCUGUCGCAAAAGGGCAUAAAUAAUUUUUUCGGGCAGUUGCAGUAGUUGUCAUGCGCUUGCUUCGUUCAUUUGCCUUGCUUUCCCUUGAAGAAAUUAAUCAUCAUGGAGAGACCAGAAGAAAGGUUGAAGUUGGAGGAAAGACUAAUUCCAAGUUCUUCACUUGCUGAUGAAAUUGGUGAUGGCAGUGGCAUGCAAGAAAGUGAUUCUUCAGCCACACCUGCUGUUGUUCUCGGCGCUUUGGUGGCCGUACGUGGUUCAUUUGCUUAUGGUUGAUCUGUAUGUACCAUUAUUAUCAUCAUGUUUUUAGUGUUGUUUUAUCUCUCUCUUUUUCAGUUCCUUUUCUUGAUGGCGUGUAUUUAGACAUGUUCAUUAGCUACACUAUAAACGUGAAUAAUUGGAGUGUCUUAGAAUUGUAACUGGGCUGUUACAUUCACAUUCCAUUUCAUGAUGGAAUGGAGCAAAACAGGUAUCCGAUAAUCCCCCAUGCUUAUACAUUUUCCAUUUCGCAAUCCUCUGUCUUCUGUGUUGGCUACUCUGGCAGGAACAUUUUCUAUAUUCUGGGUCAUAUGCGCCGCAGGUGUUGCGUUUGUUACAUUCCUGGUGCCGGCGACCAAGGGACGAACACUUGAAGAAAUACAAGCAUCAAUUACAAAGCUUUCUGGGAGAUAAAUCAAAAUCACUCCACUGCAAGUGUAAUAAUAACCUGGUUUGGUUGGACUGCAAGUGUAAACUCCCCUCACAGGAUGUGCUUGGUGUGACGCCCCGGAUUAGACUGUACUGGACUAAAAUGUACUAAGUUUAAAACGGUACUGGAUUAUAAUAUCUGUUAAAUUUUUUUAAUAAUAAUAGAUUAAUAUUAUUUGUGUACUUUAUAUUCUUAUUACUUAAUAAAAUAUUAUUAUUAUUACUAUUAUUAUUUUGUAUUAUCACCCGGGCUAAUGUUAAUCGCUGACAAUUGCUUUGUUGUCAUAUAAACCAAAGAUAAAUUUGUAGGGUCCAGUGAUCAUUUUAAAAAAAAACAAAAUUUUUGAGGCUUUUUCCUAGCCGCACGAGUUAGUGGGAAAUGGUGGGCCCCGUCAGUUGUCAGUUAAUCUAGGCCCAACCAGUGGACCGGGCCGAAAUCACAGUUAGCCUUUCCUUGGGUUUUCCGUCAUUUCCAUACCAUUGAAACUCAAAGAUUUUUAUUUUAUUUUCUUACCAAGCAGAAAACUGAUUGUUGUUGAAACUUUUUCUCUUCACAUGCACAGCUUGCAUGGAAAGUGACGCCGCAUUGAUUAUUUAUUUAUUUCAAAUACUGAUACGUUGCAAUCAAAAGCCUAAUGAUUCAAGAUAUAUGUCCAAUCUGCAUAAGAUAAGAGUGGGACGGGAAGCCAUACAAAAUCGAUACUACCCACAUGAUGAGUGUUUGGCUUUAGGAUGGUGUUUAUUAACAUGUCUGCAUUGUAACUCGCACUAAUUAGUAUUUCUUCUUUUUAUCAUUUUUUUUUAAAGAUAAGAGAAUAGAUAAAGCUUGAGUGUAUUUUUUAAAAUUACUCGACCGCGUUCCUAGAGACAAUAUAUAUAUAUAUAUAUAUAUAAGAAAAAUUAUCAGUACUUGCUCUUUUAUAUUGAUUACAACACAUGGGCAGGGCCUGAAACAGCCGCGGUGCACAUUUCAACGUACAAAAAAGGGGGACUGGAAGAGAGCAAAUGUACUUGCUGCAGCCAAAGAGAGACCAAGGCCCUCCAUGAUUUCGGAUUCAGCAGGAAUUGAAUGUCCCGCCUAAUUUCAUGCCAAUGGUCAAUACCAACUAUUUCGGAUAAUUAAUUCUUGUAAGUUAACAUGGUUCAGCUGGAAGCCAAUAUAUAUUUUUUUAAUUACUUGAGGUUAUUAGUUAGAGCACAAUUCAUAUUUCGUGAGACUCAGAUAAUUACUGAAAAUAGUAUUUUAUAAAGAGUAAAUUUUCUUUCCAUAUACUCAAUUAUACAAUAUAAUUAAGAAAAGAAUUAUCUCUUGAUUUUUUUUUGAGGGGUUUAAAUUGUGAUGACAAUAACCUUAAUCAUUGGGCCUAAAGUCAAGUGGCUUAUUGUUCCUAGUAAAAUUAAAAUUAAAGUUUUUUUCUAUUAUCAUAAUAUUGAAAAAAAAAAAAUUGUCAGGUGGGCUCUAUGCAGUCGCAUCAUUUCAACUGUUUUUUUUAUAAUUCCAAUAAUGCAGUGUUCUUUCUUUCACUUGCUCCUGUGAAAGAAUUAGGACAUGGAGAAUCCAGAAAGCUUGGAGGAGGGACUAAUAGCAAAGUCUUCACUUGCUCAGCCAAAUCCUAUAAAAAUUACAAAUGAAGUUGGUGAGCGCAGUGGCUUGCCGGAGAGUGACAAUUCUUCAGCUACACCCGUUGUUGUUCUUAGCACCUUGGUAGCCAUAUGUGGUUCAUUUGCUCAUGGCUGUUCUGUAAGUAGCAUACCGUUAUCAUGCAUGCUAGUUACUUUUUUUUGUUUCUUGAUCUUAAAUGUGAAGAAGAAAUGAGUAGAUUACCAUAAAAUUGAGUUUUUUUAUUGAUUUUUAACUGUCUAUCCUACCUACAAUCAUGUGAUUGGUAUUAGGUAAGCUUAGAUGACAGGUCCAGUACUUUGAUGUUAAAUGGUGUGUAUUUGUCAAAUGUUUUUCACUUUCAGCAAACAGUGGAAUAGUGUAUUAUGGUGGCUUACCAACUUGAGCAAAUUGGAUUGUUUCAAAGUUUCAUUCUUGUUUUGAAAUGCAGCUCAAUUAUCAAUUACCAAUCAACAGUUACUUUAAGCCAACGGAAUAGGAUCUUAUGUCAAUAUGUUUAACAUUAACAUAUAUGUUGUUAGUUGGUGACUUUAGAGAAUAGAGAUAAGCAUUAAUCAAAAUUUUCAUCAUCAAAUACAUGAAACGGGUGGACUAUCCUAAUCAUAAAAAAAAAAUAAUCUAUUAUAAUAUAUACUAAAAAUUCAAAUGCUUAUAAAGAUUUCUUCUGCAGCUGUCAUUCCAAUUUCUUAUUUCAUAGUUGUCGAAUGCUUCUUUUUUUCCAUUGCCCCUCUUUCGCUCAAGAAAAAUAAUGAUGGAGACAUCAGAAAGCUUGGAGGAAGGACUAAUUCCGAAUCCUCCACUUCUUGAGCCAACGCCUAUGAUCACCAAUGAAAUUGGUAAUGGCGGGGGCAUGUCUGAAAGUGAUUUUUCUACUACACCUGCUGUUGUUUUCAGCACCUUGGUGGCCAUAUGCGGCUCAUUUACUUAUGGCUGUGCUGUAAGAUCCAUUGCUGUUUUUUUUGCUGUCAGAGCAAGUCAAUACAUUUUUCUUGCAAGAUUAAUCUCUAAAUGCUUGAAGAUAGGAGGCUUUCAGGAGCAGUUUUGAGUGAAAUCACUUUCAUCACAAGCCACUAGUCAAAAUAUUAGUUUUUCAUUGACUGCAAUAGAUUGAUUGAUUGUUGUUUUCAGGUUGGAUAUUCAUCAGCUGCUGAGUCUGGAAUGAGGGCAGACCUGGGACUCUCAGUGACAGAAGUAAGUUGAGCAAGCCCAAGUUAUCCAUGAACACAGAACGCUAAAAUAAAUAAAUAAAUUCAUAUAAACUUUGGCCAGAAUAUGUCACUCUUGAUACACACACGUACACACAACAUCUAUUAUUGUGUAUGCAGAUUCACUUAAUUGAUCAUCACUAUUAUAUGAUCUUAUACAUUUUGAGUCCUAUAAUUGACCAUGGCUUUCCCUUGUUCUUCUAAUUCUGCAGUAC